AGAGUUUGAUCCUGGCUCAGGAUGAACGCUAGCGACAGGCCUAACACAUGCAAGUCGAGGGGCAUCGGGGCGAGGAGCAAUCCUUGCCGCCGGCGACCGGCGCACGGGUGAGUAACGCGUAUGCGACCUGCCCGUUGCAGGGGGAUAAUCGGGAGAAAUCCCGUCUAAUACCGCGUAAUGCCGCGGGGCUGCAUGGCCCUGCGGCCAAAGGGAGCGAUUCCGGCAACGGAUGGGCAUGCGUGACAUUAGCUAGUUGGCGGGGCAACGGCCCACCAAGGCGACGAUGUCUAGGGGUUCUGAGAGGAAGGUCCCCCACACUGGUACUGAGACACGGACCAGACUCCUACGGGAGGCAGCAGUGAGGAAUAUUGGUCAAUGGGCGCGAGCCUGAACCAGCCAAGUCGCGUGAGGGAUGACGGCCCUACGGGUUGUAAACCUCUUUUGUCGGGGAGCAAAUUCCGCCACGUGUGGCGGAGUCGAGAGUACCCGAAGAAAAAGCAUCGGCUAACUCCGUGCCAGCAGCCGCGGUAAUACGGAGGAUGCGAGCGUUAUCCGGAUUUAUUGGGUUUAAAGGGUGCGUAGGCGGACUGUCAAGUCAGCGGUAAAAUACGGGGGCUCAACCUCCGCCCGCCGUUGAAACUGACGGUCUUGAGUGGGCGAGAAGUAUGCGGAAUGCGUGGUGUAGCGGUGAAAUGCAUAGAUAUCACGCAGAACUCCGAUUGCGAAGGCAGCAUACCGGCGCCCAACUGACGCUGAAGCACGAAAGCGUGGGUAUCGAACAGGAUUAGAUACCCUGGUAGUCCACGCAGUAAACGAUGAAUACUAGCUGUCCGGGGCGAAUGAGCCCUGGGUGGCACAGCGAAAGCGUUAAGUAUUCCACCUGGGGAGUACGCCGGCAACGGUGAAACUCAAAGGAAUUGACGGGGGCCCGCACAAGCGGAGGAACAUGUGGUUUAAUUCGAUGAUACGCGAGGAACCUUACCCGGGCUCAAACGACACAGGAACGUACCUGAAAGGGUUCGGCUCUACGGAGCCUGUGUCGAGGUGCUGCAUGGUUGUCGUCAGCUCGUGCCGUGAGGUGUCGGCUUAAGUGCCAUAACGAGCGCAACCCCCAUCGACAGUUGCUAACAGGUCAGGCUGAGGACUCUGUCGAGACUGCCGGCGCAAGCUGCGAGGAAGGCGGGGAUGACGUCAAAUCAGCACGGCCCUUACGUCCGGGGCGACACACGUGUUACAAUGGCAGGUACAGCGGGAAGCCACCUGGCGACAGGGAGCGGAACCCGAAAGCCUGUCUCAGUUCGGAUUGGAGUCUGCAACCCGACUCCAUGAAGCUGGAUUCGCUAGUAAUCGCGCAUCAGCCACGGCGCGGUGAAUACGUUCCCGGGCCUUGCACACACCGCCCGUCA
RNAcentral lists this ribosomal RNA (1406 nucleotides) under uncultured bacterium. RNAcentral's name for it is "bacterial SSU rRNA". It matches the Rfam family "Bacterial small subunit ribosomal RNA". The record is from RNAcentral.